UGUGCAUCGUAUGCACUUUCGCUGUGACUUGCUUCAUGCGCCUGCGGCCAACCUGUUGGAGAGCUUUUAGCAUGAUGGAGACCUACUGGCGCCCUGGCAGUUCCCUGGAACGUGAGGUCGCGGAUGGCCCUAGACACCAUCCGCAACCGGCGCCUGAUCCAGUGCGACCAGUGCGGCUACCGGUGCAGUAGCCGGAGCUACAUGCGCAUCCACGCCCGGGUGCACACGGGAGAGCGCCCCUUCCGCUGCAACAUCUGCCCGAGCGCCUUCACCGACCCCAGCAACCUCAACCGGCACAAGCGUUGCCACACGGGUGAGCGGCCGUUUGUGUGCCGCCACUGCAAGCAGCACUUCACCCAGAGCAGCAGCCUGCGGACUCAUAUGCUAUAUCAACACGGGCACAUAGAGUGACCGCCCUUGCUUCGGAUGCCCACCAUUCCGGGGGGCCCUUUAAGAAGGCGAACCAUUGCGCCACGUGUCAAUGCAACAUACCGGAUGUUGCCUUUACUUCCGACGAGACGGUGCCUACCUCAGAGACAUCAGUAGCACAACUGGAAUGCGUCGGCGCUGCCUUUACAGUAGAAUCCCGCUGAUACAUCCUGUUUAUGGUGUUUUCGUAGCUGCUACACCAUGUUUUUGUUGUCUAAGCACAAUGCCUGUGUGCUGCUAGCUUCCCUGAACUUUGAAGUUUUUUUAGCACUUAUUGUUUUCUUCUUACGGUUUUGUAAAAGCCUUACCACCAGUGUUCUACUGUAGUGUCCCGUGAUAACAAUGCUGCAGUACUGGGCUUUUGGACUGCAAAGCCUGUGUUUCCUGGAGUCUUCCUUCAAGACUGGUUCUUUACAACUAGUGGCAUUCGGCCCGAUACCACCAACUAUAUGCACUUCAGUCACUAUUCCUGCUUUUUUUUUUCUUCUUUGCUACAGUAUAUUUUGUUAACACUGUUCUAUGCACAAGAAAAGGUGCAAGCUGUGUUAAAGUAUGCGUUGUUCUUGCCGAGUCGAGCUAGUUCGGACCAUGUAUGCCGAUACCGUUAGCUGAUGAACCCUACAGCUGAUGACAUGUCCUGCAUCUAUCCAUCGUGGCAUGCAGAGUGAAGUGAAGUAAGCAUAUGGCUGACAACUGUAAUCCGGGGGGCACGGGGGGAGGAAUUGGCUUGCUCUACCUUUAAAUUUCACAACAUGUCAAAUUUAAGGAGUACUGGUAUACACAUUUUCAAAGUUGUAGAAAGCUGUAUUGCACUCUUCUUGCUCACAAAAGGAAGGCACUCAGCUAGUGUGAAGUUUGGGAGAUAUGGGAUAUUUUAAUUUUAUGCUGAAAUCUGUCUCAAAAUGCCACAACUGGCAUCAUCGACAUUAUUCCAAUGUCGUGACGCGGAGCAAGACAAUUGCUCGUGGUAUGUGGCAGUAAGGCACAAAUAAAAGAAGUAUAAAUAACGAUAUAUAACGAAUACGAAAACGACGCACAAGAUAAGUGAGAGCAGCACUUAUUGAGCACCACACGUGAGCUCUUGGCAGUGCUCACGUGGUGGCUGCAGCAAUCGCAGGAGGUGUGUUGCGAUAUAACGAUGCAUUCACUCUGUGUACUCAAAAUGAAGCUGACUUGUAGAAACAUGCGUCAUGGUAAAUUAUUUAGCCUGCAGUUUUAUAGGUUUCAUAGGGCUCAGACCUUCAUUUAAUGAACAUACAAAAAAAGUGACAUUGAAUAUGUCGCAUUAGUAAUCCUUUAAGAUAAGGCAGAGUACAGUUAAAAAGAGCAAGACAGAGCAAGCAUAUAGCAGACUUUGUCUACUGCCGUUAUAAAAUGAAAGCAUUACAUCUGUACAAGCUAAAUUUGUUCUAUGCAUAAAGGAAUCGAAAAGGAAUGGGAAAAGUGGCUGCCUCGAAUUGGCUUGAAACUGCACUGUUGCUUGCAUCGCUUCAUUCAUUCACGCCUUAAUUCACUGAAUCUUGAUUAUUUAUUCACAUUGUGCACCAGCUACAGUGUCGCCUUCGUCUGGAAUACUGAUUUGCAUUGUUAACAAGACUGCAUAAUUAUGCAUUCGUUCCCCAUAAGAACCAUGUGUAAUGUGAUGUGUGCAUGGUGCAUUUGAUGCAAAGCAAGCGAUGAACAGCUCUCCAGGCUGCAUUGUGUUUUGGCACCUGCUGUGUUUAGCCACAACUUUGUUACAGCCACACUGUUACAGGGUCAAGCAUGUCAAAAUUCUUCCCACCUAGACCUAAGGUGCCACAGGGUCAAAGACUCCUGUGGUAUCUAUCAAAGUUUGUACCCUUUUCUUUUACCAACAGGACUUUUGAGAACUGCUGAAAACUAGAAUUCUUACGACUCUGAGUAUGCAAAAAUAAAAGCAAUGCAAAGAUAGUACAAUCUUUGUGAUGCUAUAGAA
RNAcentral lists this long non-coding RNA (2386 nucleotides) under Dermacentor andersoni. Its description in RNAcentral is "uncharacterized LOC126518102". Lineage: Eukaryota; Metazoa; Arthropoda; Arachnida; Ixodida; Ixodidae. The record is from RNAcentral.